Manacus vitellinus (golden-collared manakin) is the source of this 874-nucleotide long non-coding RNA. RefSeq lists it as uncharacterized. The transcript is spliced from 3 exons. NCBI's taxonomy places the organism in Eukaryota, Metazoa, Chordata, Aves, Passeriformes, Pipridae. The record is from RefSeq and is a predicted model, not a curated record.
CUUUGAUGCUGUGAGAAUAUUGAUAGCAGCACCCAGGUCAUGGGAAACUGAGAUCUUUGUGUCACACCUCUGAGCAGUGGAAGUUGUCUUGGAAAACCAUUCCUUGCUGCACAGAGUGUGAUAGUCAAAAAUCCCAACAGCCCCUUUGUCAUGCUGAGUAUAAAAACAUAAAAGCUGAGUUUCUGGUUGAACACCUGAGAAAUUAGCUGGGUAAUUUUGGUUUGACCCAAACCAAUUUUGGUUUGGCUAAAUUUCAAAGUAAGUUUUCUUUUAAAAAAUGAUUUUGUUUUGGUUUUUUUUUUUUUAUAGAAAACCAUAUUUGGUUACUGUGGAGUAAUGUUCUUGGAUGCAUUCUCUUUCUCUGAAGCUUUAACUUGUGUUAGUGGAAUUUGAUGGUAACUUUUGUGAUGGUAAAAUUCCCCUGUGUUUGUCCAGGUUUAUUUCUUUGCCACACAGAGAAAGUACAAGAUUUUUCUUCUUCUCCAAAGAUGAUGAACGACUGAGAGAGGGCCCUAAGUUAUUUUGUAGAUCAGUAGAUCUCAGUGAAGAAAAAGAUGGUUGGGAAGACAGACGUAGAUUAUUGCUUGAGGAAUGCCGGAAGAAGCACAAGGAUGCAAAAAGAAAAGUGAAAGCAAAACAAUAAAUAUUUUUUACCUUCCUGAUCAGAAAUGUUUCAUGUUUCAUCUCUGAAGAAGUUGCAAAACAAUGUUACUUUCAAAAUACUUCCAGAAAUCUAGUGGGAAAUAAUAAUUUUGGCAAAAACUACUCAGACUUUGUUUCUACAUAGGAACAUGUUUAUUCUGUCAGUUCAAGGUUUGUACCAAGGUCUGGGGAUUUGUAUGUGUGUGUACAUAUAUAUGUAUAUAUAAAUAUA